GUGGGGAAUUUUGGACAAUGGGCGAAAGCCUGAUCCAGCCAUGCCGCGUGCAGGAUGAAGGCCUUCGGGUUGUAAACUGCUUUUGUACGGAACGAAAAGACUCCUUCUAAUAAAUGGGGUCCAUGACGGUACCGUAAGAAUAAGCACCGGCUAACUACGUGCCAGCAGCCGCGGUAAUACGUAGGGUGCAAGCGUUAAUCGGAAUUACUGGGCGUAAAGCGUGCGCAGGCGGUUAUAUAAGACAGAUGUGAAAUCCCCGGGCUCAACCUGGGAACUGCAUUUGUGACUGUAUAGCUAGAGUACGGUAGAGGGGGAUGGAAUUCCGCGUGUAGCAGUGAAAUGCGUAGAUAUGCGGAGGAACACCGAUGGCGAAGGCAAUCCCCUGGACCUGUACUGACGCUCAUGCACGAAAGCGUGGGGAGCAAACAGGAUUAGAAACCCCGGUAGUCC
This 450-nucleotide ribosomal RNA is filed under the name uncultured bacterium. RNAcentral's name for it is "partial 16S ribosomal RNA". It matches the Rfam family "Bacterial small subunit ribosomal RNA", at positions 354 to 796 of the family's 1533-position model. The record is from RNAcentral.